UACGGGGGGAGCAAGCGUUGUUCGGAUUUACUGGGCGUAAAGGGCGCGUAGGCGGCCAGCACAGGUCAGUUGUGAAAUCUCCGAGCUUAACUCGGAAAGGUCAACUGAUACUGUGCGGCUAGAGUGCGGAAGGGGCAACUGGAAUUCUUGGUGUAGCGGUGAAAUGCGUAGAUAUCAAGAGGAACACCUGCGGCGAAGGCGGGUUGCUGGGCCGACACUGACGCUGAUGCGCGAAAGCUAGGGGAGCGAACGGG
Molecule: ribosomal RNA, 254 nt
Filed under: uncultured bacterium
Lineage: Bacteria
Description: partial 16S ribosomal RNA
Rfam family: Bacterial small subunit ribosomal RNA
Source: RNAcentral